RNAcentral lists this long non-coding RNA (25116 nucleotides) under Phoenix dactylifera (date palm). RNAcentral's name for it is "long non-coding RNA (PDAC_LNC000356)". The record is from RNAcentral. Lineage: Eukaryota; Viridiplantae; Streptophyta; Magnoliopsida; Arecales; Arecaceae.
AUCAAUUGAAUAGAAUGUAUCUCAAUAUCUAUCUAUAUUGUAAAUAAACCUCUAUUCUUUCCGAUAUCCAUUGGUAUUCUAAAUAAAUUUUUAUUUUUUAUAUAGUUGGGCAAAUUUAGAUUCCUAUAAGGCACGAGCUUAGGUGCAACAAAAUAGCACCCACAUGGUUGAUUUUUUUUCUCCUGCGGUCCCAUCCCACAUGGAGUUUUUUUAUCAAACCUCAUGUGUGACUCAACCCUUCUUAUUUUUUGUACAUCGGUUUUUCCAAUCUUAGAACUCUUCGCUCCCACAUCUCCCUUCUUCUCCUUGGAUUUGCGGUUUGCUCAUCAAAGAGGAUGUUAUUCGUGAGUUUUGAUCUUGAUACACCUUCACAGCCAGAUUAGCUUGCACACUGAGAUGAAAUCGGUCGGGAUCUUUUUGCCUCGGUAAGACUCUCAAACAAAUCCACCUAAGAACUCGUGGAGGACCACGAAUGAAGUCAAGUACAAUGUGCUGACACUUUCAAUGGACUCGCUUUUUUUUUUUUGUCCAAUUGAAUCCCCAUCCGACAGCUACGCAAAGAUUAAAGAUUCAUGAUAAUCUUGACGUGGAUAACGUGUCAGUGUAACAGUCGUCUCCAACAAAUGAUCCUAAUCCUAUCCAGUGGACUUUGAGAGGAGACAAGUUAAUACAUGACCACGCGUCCAGACAUACUAUAAUUUUUUCCUGUUAAGUUAAUGGUGACGGGAUAAUCCAGUAGGGAGCAGAGAAUAGAAGAAGAUGGGCGGACGGACAGGAGACGUGUCUCUGGCCUUCCACGCUUCCCGGUCUCCGCAGCAAGCUAUUGGCUCAACAACGAGAACGCGAUAAACCGGGAGUUCCUCAGGCACAGAAAAAACCGCCGCCGUGUCUUCUUGGUUUCGCGGUGGCGCCGCCCCUUCCAUAGUUUUCUUGCCAAGCCUGAUCCAAUACUGGAGUAGGGGAAGCGGAAGAAAAAAAAAAGUUCGCUCCUUUACGCUUUGGAUUUAUGCGAGAGAGAUGACCGGAGAUGAGACCCCGGACUCAAUUCCAAACCCUAACCCUAACCACAAUCCCGAGUCGAAUCCUGAAAGUAAUCGCCAGGCGGUGGAACGGACGGCGGCGGGAGUCAAGAGAAAGAGAAAUCUUCCGGGAACCCCAGGCAAAGUUCCCUACCAAGCUCCCUUCUUGUCUCUCUCCCUCUUUCUCAGUUUCAAUCGAUGCGAGUCCUGUUCGAUUGAUCAAUAAAAAUUCAAUUUUUUUUUUUAAGAUCCGGAGGCGGAGGUGAUCGCGCUGUCGCCGGAGGCGCUUCUAUCGGCGAGCACCUUCGUGUGCGAGGUCUGCGGGAAGGAGUUCCGGCGGGACCAGAACCUCCAGAUCCACCGUCGGGGGCACAACCUGCCGUGGAACUUCCCCCAGAAGAAGGCGGCGGCGGCGACGGAGGCGGUCGGCGGGAAGGAGGCGGCGAGGAAGCGGGUGUACGUGUGCCCGGAGGAGACGUGCGUGUACCACGACCCGGCUCGGGCGCUCGGGGACCUUACCGGGAUCAAGAAGCACUACAGCCGGAAGCACGGGGAGAAGAAGUGGAAGUGCGACAAGUGCUCGAAGAAAUACGCCGUCCGGACCGACUGGAAGGCCCACAGUCGGAUCUGCGGCAACCGCGAGUACGAGUGCCUCUGCGGCACCCUCUUCUCUAGGUAUGCAUGGUUUUAUACUAAUCUCUCCCAUUCUCUCUCUCUCCCUCCCUUUUCCUCGUGGAUUUUGUAGAGCUGAGAAAGAAAUCAUUGGUGCAGGAAGGAUAGUUUUAUAAUUCACAGGGCGUCGUGCGAGGCGACGGCGGAGUCUCCGACGGCGGCGGCGACGGUCGAUCUUAGCUUCAAGGCGAACGCCGUGAAUAACGAAUUGUUGUUUCCGAGCUUAUGGGGACAGAGCUCGUCGCAGUCUACGGGAGUGAGGGAGGAGCAGAGGACAAGUGGAACAGGCACAUGAUCCGUCAUCUGUGACCAAAUAGAUCGAAAGGCAUAUCAAGAGUGUCAAGGAAAUCGACUUCAUGUUGUAUCUGGACGCAGAAUGUUUCCAGGCCUUUGUAAACUUCCACAAUAUUUGUCAGGAUUUGAUGUCUACUGAUUUUAGUUUGUACACCUUUUGCUUGUAAUCGAAUGGCAAAGCUGUGAUGAAUUAAACGGAGGUUCUCUCUAGACCGCAAGCCUUAAUCAUCUGCCUCAAUGUUAGCUUUAGGAAUCACAUUGAAUUGAUUUCAAAAAUUGACUCUUUUUUGUAUUUUUGUGUGUGUGUUCUCUCUUUCGAGGCGUGCAGCCAAACCAACUUCAACCCUCACGUUUUCCAUUUCAAUUCUCAACUAGGGACCAGCAUCAGUAAAAAAAUAAAAAUACCAAUUAAUCCAAGCAUAAGCAUUUACAGUUUGAGGAUAAGUAAUCAAGAAGUUUGACCAGUAGUAACAGCGUCAUCCUCUCUCGUUUCCUUAUUUCUCCGGCACCCAAACAAUGCUUAGAGAUUUCGUUACAAAAAUUUUUCCACGUUACUCGUGUAUUCGCAUAGUGCCGUAGUAAAUAGUUCCUGAGCAACGCAUAUCGGAUCUCAUCCCUAGCAUCAUGCAACAAGAACAAAAUCUGAAACGCCUGCAACAUAUUAACACGGAAGAAAUGCUUGUUUCAAAUCUGUAAACAUGUCAUGUCCACCAUUGGCGGGAGUAUGUACAAAUGAGGAGAGUGACUAGAUCUAUCUUAACCAUCAUAAUUAUGGAGAAACCAUUUAUUUUUACUUCAUAUUAUCUUCCAAGGCUGAGGCUUUGCAGAUCGGGCAGGCAUUCUUUAUCAGCAACCAUUGCUUUAUGCAGCUGGCAUGGAAAUCAUGUCCACAUUUUAGUCUCCCAAUGCUUUCCCCAUCUCGGUACUCUUCCUGUCAAUUCAAAAUGCAGACCCAUAAAACAAACACCUAGUUACGUUAUUGUAAUUUAGUCAACAGAAGAUUAGGCUUUUCUUUUUAAUCAAGUCAAUUAGACAUAAAUCUCAUGGACGUGGUUGAAGAAACAUUACCAGGCAAAUUGCACACUUCAAUUCUUCCUCGUCAUCCUGAUUCUGUUUGCAAGAAUAGUAUAUCGUCUCCAUCAAGCAUCUUGAGAUGGCAUCUGACGACAAGCCUGUGCUGACAUUUCCAAUUCUUUCUCCCAGUGCAAGCAGCUCCUGUGCCAACCCCAAUAACUUGACAUUGUUAGAUGAUCUGAUUGAAGGGAAAAUAAAAGGUAAUUUUCUUCAGGAAAAAAAAAAAUCCCGACCUCAUAGCUCAUGCUGUCGAUGUCCAGUCUCAUGUCACGGUGCUGAUCAAAGAAAUUCCUGGAAUCAUAGAAGUUUGACCGGUCCAUUAUAGCUACACCCUGCAUAAAUAAAUCAAGACGGAUAAGUCUUCUUUGGUGCAUGCUAAGUAGCAUUUUUUAUUUCUGGAAUAGCCAAAAGAAAGCUUGAUUUCAUCAACUAAUAACAUUAUCACCUCAGAGAUCCAUCUACUGCGAGUAUUGUCCUCAUCUGAGAAUGACUGGAAUCUAUCAUAGAAAUUCCUUGCCCUUCCAUUCCUCUCAUUAUUAUGCCCCAUAAUAGACGGUGGUCUUGGAUGUCUAGGAGGCAUCGCAGUUUCCACUCCUGGCCGCCUAUCAUCUUCCAAAGUGGCUGCAAAACCCACAGAUGGGUAGUUUGGAAUGGCCCUGUAAGUUCUUUGACUGUAACUACUGUGGGCCAGCCCUGCGCCUCGUGUUGGAGGACCCUGGAGACUUGGCAUGGUACUCGGACUUCUACUUGCAAUGAGAUUGGUGUGGUACCCACCAUCGAUCUCCAUAUUGUUAUCGGUGACACUGCUUCCCGCAAGGGACUGACUAAUCUCAUGAUUGAAGGAGCUAACUUCUGCAAUUUCCAGAACCAUGUCGGAAACAAAUUAAGCAGUCAACUUAAAAAUCCAAAACCAAAUAUACUAAUUAGACUAACCUGAAGAGAGAACCGUUCUUGGGGGAUCCAUAGAGACAGAAUUUUGGCUCCAAUGUCCUACCACACCCAAACCAGCAGUAUUCACUGUUGCUUGAAAAUGUUGAGGCAAGUUGUUAGAUGCAUGAACCCCAACUGGGAUGGUUUCCAUGUGACGGGCAUGAUUAUGUCGGCUCCUGACAUUCCUCCGGGGUCCUUCUCCAAAAGUCAAAAGAUUGCUGCUUCCAUAACUAGGGACUGUGCUAACGGGCUCCCAAGGCCAGCAAUGAGGACCUGAUAAAGGCUUUGGCUGUAAUUGCUCAUUCGACAUGGGAAGAUUGGAAGAACUACCAGCACUAUAAUAUCCACUGGUGUUCCCCCUGUCAGAAACUAUUGCGAGUGCUGGGAUUUUUCUUUUGUAUGAUGCUCUUCCAUAGUCCAUUUGAGGAUUAAUUGUGCUGCCUACAUCCCCAAUUGCAUGUUGGUUGUAGAAAGGAGGCCCAUGCUGAACAUAACUUGGUGGAAGCCGACUAGAGCUGGCAGCAGAUGGAGUAUGCAGGUAGGGAUCAUGUGAGGGUCCAACUGCCAUGUAAUUUGGAAUCUCUGAAGUAGGCAAUGGAGGGUCAUUUGAUCUAGGAAUCAUGUUAAAAUAAGCCACUGAAUUCACCCCAUUGACUGCUGCAUUCUCAGAAGGACGAACUAAAGAACCAUUUUCUGCAAAUCAAAUUUCAAAACGUGUCAUUCAAUAAAGUUUCCAAAAAUAUUUUAAUAACAUCCAGAAGCAUGAAAUUGACAGAAGUACCCAAGUUCAGGUGAGAAUCAGGGUGCGGAUGAUUCCAGAUUCGGUCAUGAUCCAUUUCAGACAUUUGAGAUUGAUUAACCAAGUGUCUAUGCCCCAUAGAAGAUGUUGCCUUGGAUCAGAACAGCAUAUGGAGUCUACAAAAAAUAUAUAUCAAAGAUCACCAUAUUCAGCAAUUGUAUUCAAGGUUGUGACAACACAUUCAACUGAAUUGCACCAUGCAUGCAAAAAAAUGAUAAGAGAAGAUAUCCCGGAUGUUUGAAGCAGCAUUUCAUGGAAAAUUGUUGUCAAUCAUAUCAAUAUAAAUAUGCAUUGCGAACAUCAAUUUAGAAGAACUAAUUCUUUCAUUGAAUGAGAGAAGAAUUAAUUCUUCACAACAAUAGACAACAAGAAUCACUGACAAACAAACAUUGCAGCAUGGCCUGCUAUAUCCCUGCCAGCCGAUAGCUGAUGUAGUGCAACUUUUGCCAGUGAUGAGGACAGAUGCACAACAACCCACAGAAGGCCAUGUAAAAUGGAUGAAGACAUGUUACAGAAACCUUUUCUUUUUGGCCAGACAAUUUAUGAUUGAUUAAGAUGACAUACAGGUAUAUCUUGAAUGAACAAUAAAUUCACUAUGUCAUCUUAAAUCAAAUGCAAUAUGCACACAUAAUCUGGAUACUAUAUUUUACAUUUACAUAUCCAAAUAUAUUUUUCCAUUAUUUUGAAAAUAUCAUCUGUAGAAAGGUUGAAACACAUCAAAAUAGAAAAAAUAAUAAAAAGAUCACAUAACAAGAUGACCAAUUCCAAUCAUGUAAAACCAGAUGGCUUUUUUACUCAUACAGAUCCUGGUACAAUUUGAGAUGAGCACUGAGGAGAAUGAGGCAAACCUCAUCUUUCAGCUUCCCAAGAAGAAUAUAAGUAGGGAAAAUUAAAUCAGCCAAUGUUUUGAUAACUAAAUGCCACACCAAGAAUAAAAAGGAGCAAAUUAACAUCCAAAAAUCCUUUUUAUCAACCACAUUUGCGAAUUCCUUCAUCCACAAGCACAUUCCAGUAACAAAUUGUAGAACUGGUUCAAUGCUACCUUCAAGGAUUAUCAAAACAUUAUUUGAUAUAAAUAUAUCUUUCUGAGUCCUUAACUUUUAUUUGGUACGAGCUUGAGAAUAAUACGAUCCAUGCAAUUACACCAUUUGGGUCAACCGUUUCAUAGGUUCUCCCCCAGUUUAUUAAUUGAACCAUAUCAUUUCUUGGUCAUGUGGUAAAGCUGAGUACCAUGCAAUAUACUGCCAAAAAUAAACUUUAACUUCCAGUAGAUUUGCAAAUUUUAUUUGAGCUUAGGUUCAACUUCCUUUAUUUUCAAAGAUAAUAACAAUGCUACAAAAGUGUCUUCUGAUCUUGUUUCAGUGCCUGCACCAAACACUCAAACACUGAGAUAAAAGUUCACAUAGAAAAAGGUUCAUGCCUAGCGAGCGCCCAACUUCACUUCUCACUAGUGACAAAAGUUAUCUCAGUCAGCUAUUAUCAUUUUUUUAAUUGACAACCUUUUUCUUGAUUUUAUCAUUGUAAUAUGAGAAAAAAGUUUUUAUUUUUUGAAUUUUUACAACUUGUAAGAAAAUUCAUGAUUUUUUUUGUGUUUAAAUUAUAUUGAUUUCUAAAGUUUACUAAAUUACUUGCUCAUAAAACUGUUCCUGGGAUUUGUUAAACUAUUUUUUCAAAUAUAUAUUUUCAUAAUUUUCUAACAACCCAGCCCACACCUAAAACCUUAUUUUUUUAAAAAAAAAGAUUACAAACUCUUGGUGUUCUAAAUCUUGAAUUCAUGACUAUGCUAAUCACCAUCUUGCUCAUAUUCUCGACCAAUGGUUUUGAAGAAAAUCUCAUGGUUUUUAGCUAAUAACUGUUGCUACCCAAACUUCAUUUAGGAGUGUAAAACCAGAAUGCCCAUGGUAGAAUCAAGUGCCUUAUGUAUGCUACACCCAUCUGGUGCUCUCCCAACAAGCAAUAUGCAAAAAGGGUGUCCACUCCACCAUGAAAUAGCAAAGUCCAAAUGCCCUUCAUAUUUAUUUUUUCCAUCUAUUUUCUAUCUAAUCUUACUAUAUUAUGGUACAUGAUAUGAAUUUUCACCAUAUAUGCCAAGCAUAUCUGAGUCUCUCCUUGCAGCCUAAGUAGCUAUUCCUUAGAAACGAGAAUAACAAGAAAUCAUAACAACAUCAAAAUGCUGAAGUUGCACAAAACCAUCAAAUUCCUUUUGCUUCUAUGCAGAUUUCAAAUCAAUAUUCAGAUUGCAAAUUUACAGGGAGUCAUAUCAUAAUAAGCAUUCAAGUAUAUAAGGAAAGAACUUUUAACAUGACAAAAAAAGGACCAUACUCCAACUCAUCUGCCUUUGUUCAAGAGAUAAUAAUGAAAACAAAUCCAGUCCAACUCUACUAUUACUUCUAACACAGUAACCUUAAAAUAAGACAGCAACUAAAACCUAAGAGGUUAGCUGCAGCAAAUGUGACCAAAAAGAUACAAUAGAAGCUAAUAAUUGGCUUUAUGCCUGUUAUCACCUUUCUACCAUAGAAGAUGUCUCACUGUAUUCGAUAAGCCAAUAAUACAGAAAUGCUCUAAGGACAAAAGACCAUUUUCUUAAAUUAAAUGGAAUGGCAUAAUUUUUUACAAGCGACUAGUAAGAAAACAGAAGGCAAACUUCUUUUUGGGAGAAAAAAAAAGAAAAAGACACCUACCACAUAACCUUAUCCAAACUAUGUGCCAAAAGGAUAAGCAGCCUUUUACAAAGAGGCAGCAGCAGAAAAAACUGAUAUCUGUACUAAAAAGUUUAGUGCUAUUAUACUAGUAAUAAGUGAUUCUUAUGUCUUCGGUGAGAAAGUAUACCCAGUUUUAGCCAACCUUAAAAACAAUAAAUAGCAAUCUCCUACUAUAUCUCCAUGCUAUGAAAGCCACAAUGGGAACUCAAAGAAAAGCAUGGAAGAAUUUUGGAGUGGAAACAAAAUAUAGAUCUUAAAAGUGAAAUAAAACAAAUUCAGAAUAGACGAUCAUAAGGAUUUUAGAACUGAUAGGUGGUACUUGCACAUCUCCUGCCACAAACUAUGUUGCAAGGUUAUGACAGCUGUAAGAAGAAAAGCCCGUUCAUCAUCUGGCCAACAGAAUUUUUUGCAACAGAAAGAUUAUAAGUUACAAAACUGAAUAGGAAAACUAAUAAAGCAUAAGCUGGUAAUAGCUCAAACUGAAAUUUUCGUUUAUCAAAUUGCAUGUAACCCAUGCAUGCCAACUGAGAAAGUCUUAGAUUAUCUUUCAAAUCAUCUUCUUUCUUCCUUUCUUUAACCCAUAUUCUUCAUAGUUCUAUGGUAUGGAAUCUGCUUUUCAUGUAUAACGGGUAACAAAGUGUUCUCCUCGUCACAACAUCAGUAAUAGCAUCAGAUAAAACAGAAAGAUCGGGCAAACAAGACAAUUAGUAUAAAACAUCCACUCCCACUAUUUUGUUAAGAGUAUAUUUUGACACUAAAGUUAGCAUAUCUAAAUACUCAUAGCCAGAUAGAGAGGUCAAAUCUUAUAUUCCAGUUCAUGUAUAUAGAAAAUAAAAUGCCCAAUCACUCCAAGCAGCUGUUGUUCAUCAUAAAGCUUUUUAAGCACUAAGCAGUGAUGGAAGCCAAGUCAGGGAUUUAAUUGAGCAUACUGCGAUGUCAUCUACAGCAAUUCAUGGCAUACUCAAAAAUGUCAGUGGCUGUUAGAUCGUGGAUUGAAAUGCAUGUUUUUAGAUACAAUCCUCUCAAAAGAAGAAUAAAAAAAAGAACAAUUCACAUAUACAGAUUAUGGCACUAGAAUACUAGAUCAUAUACCAAAAAGUCUAGAAAGGCAAAAGCAGUCGGGCAAAAUUACAUUCUUCAUAACACAAUUAGAUUUAGUCUGAAUCAUUGCCUAAAGCCUGGCAGACAGAACCUCUUCUGUUGCGUACCUCCAAGAGAUCCAUUUGCAGAUGCCUACAGAACCUGUCUUGUCUUGUAAAGAGCCAAAAGUAUGAUAGACAAGAAUAUGGACUUAUAUCUGUAAAAGAUAAUGAUCUAGCUACAAGAAUAAUCUGAGUAACAUUUUCAGAACCUUUUCAAAACUGCAGCAUUUUUUAUUCAAAAUCACCACUUCGAGAAAAGUGGAAAUGCUUUCUAUUGAUAUACGUUAAUAACACUGUCCAGAACCUCUUUAACAUUACCCAAUAACUUUUCUAUAACUGGAAUUGAAUACCAACAAGCCACAAUGGAAAGAAGAGUGAAUUCAAGCGAGAAGCAAACAAACUCUACAGAGUGAAAACAAAAUGGAAUUAUACAACAGAAAUCCUUAUUUCUUAGACAUCAUUUAAAUUCUAAAAGUGACUAAAUAUGGAAAACCUUGCAGCUCUGUUCAAUAAUCUCAAAAAAACUUUACAUAAUUAAGAGAUGUCACCACUCAACUGAGAUUAGUUGUCAUAACAGUAACCCAUUCAUGGUCCUCAGACACCAGGAGCACAUGGUAUCUGAGAAUAUGGAAAACCUUGCAGCUCUUUCUAUCAUUUUCACGGACCAAUGAAUGAUCAUUAAGAUGGAUACCUCUGCCAAGAAUAUCAGAUGAAAGUAAAUUUACUCCAAACCGCAUGCAGAACUUCCAGAGACCAGCUCAACCAGCUCUCUAUGCAAAACCAACCAAAGAUAGUUGGCAUGCAUUAGAGCUACCACAUCGCUGCAAAAGCGAUCAAGUCUUCAGAAAUCCAGCCACCAUCUGAGUGCUCAUCCUAAAUACUAUGCUAGAAGGAAUCACAGAAUAUUCAGUCACCAAAAGAAUUCACAUCUUUAGAUCACCCUCGGUUUCAGCAAAGGUAUAGCAGUCUGAAGGCAUGAAGGAUGACGAGAAGACAACUUGUCUGGCCCAAAAUUGUGAAAUAAGCCUUUGGUAAAACAGUCAUCCCAGCUUUGAAUAAAAUGUAAGGAAUCUUAAAACGGUAAUGACUAACUCACCAUCUCCAUUACAGGCAUCGCCACAACUUACUAGGUUAACCCUGGAUCAAGUCAUCAAGGCUCUGUGGCAUGAACACCAAACACUUUGCACUAAACUCAGAGAAGCUAAUUCUAAGGAUCCAGAAUGAUUGCAAAUUCAUGCUUUGAUGUGGAAAUCGCAAUAGACGACUCCAAGGAAACAUGACCUCUGUUUCAAGAAGCAUCAUGGUGUCUGUUGCUAUAUUUGGCUCAAUAUAGACAAGACUGAUAUGAUGAACUUAUUUUACACAUCCACAUGUGAGGCUUACGUCAUAGAGCCUCAAACUGCUGCUGCUCACACAAUGAUUUUGAUGGAAAACUCAAGAUCUCAAAUCCUUGUCUAUAUGGUACAAUAAGGCCAACAAAAUGCCUGCAACACCAUUUAGAUUCAGUUGAAGACUGUCAAAAAAAUGCCAUCAAAAUAACCUACCCUUUAAUAGAGGUUAACCUAUGAAUGAUUAUUGUCUAUAUAAGCCCUCUUGAAACAAAUUGCUCGUCUGAUUUUUCCAACAGAGAAAAAGACAGAAUUUAGGGCUGGAAAAAUCUUAAACUAGAACCUUUUGGUAGUUGAUAGAUGAUGCAACGGCAAAAGGUCCCCAAUAGCUGCUAAAGAUUUUUAUGCCCAAGAAAAAUUAAACCUAUUGUAAAGCAGUAUAAAAUGGUAAACUAUGACGGCAUAAAUUUUAGAGCAGCCUAAGAUGAGAAAAGAAACUUAUCUGAUGAUCUAACUAUAGGAUAGGAAGAUACAAAGGCCAAGUUAAACCAACUACCUCACCUGUGACCAUGAAUUAUGUCACAUAAGUAUUAAAUGUCUCCAAUUUUCCAAGUUGACCAAUUUUGUGAUAUAGCCUAUCAUGAAGGCUUUCCAGCAGUUAGCGUGAAAGCAACAUACACAUUAAUCACCUAUAAAUAUACAUGUUAGUCAACAAAAACUAAUCUUUGAAGGUAGUGACAUGUAUGAAAAUACUAACAAAUCUAAGGGUCUCUGAGAAGCACCAAAAGUGAUCAACUGAAGCAGCAAUGAAAUCUGUAACAACCCGGUGUAGGAACAUCUGGAGCCAUUGAACCGACACUUCUUAACCAUAUUAAGAGAAACAUUGUUACUUCAAGCAACCAUAUAUUUUGUUUAUAAGUGACUCCAAAUAAAUAUUCUAAUAAAAAAGUAAUAUAAAAGGAGAAAAACAAAUUAAUGAAUGAUAUGAUAAACCCAUCUUAAAAAAAGUUUUGCAAUAUUCCACCAGCAAAGUCACUUGAAAGAAAAAAAAGAUAAAUGGAGCUCAGAGAUCAUUAAGGCCUGGUUGGGGAAAAAGAUUGUUAAGGUUUGUAUUGUCAAUUAUUCGCCACUUAAUUAAUGCUUUGCACAGGAGUACAUGCCUGAGAUAUGAGUUGGCACUGUUUUGGUAAAAGAAAAUAUAUUUAAUGGAAAAGUCAUACUUACAUGUUUUCAAUAUUUUCACUGAAAUAAGGAUUUUCAACAAAAUCUUCAGACAACCUCACUUUUCUGAUAGCCUAAAGUAGUUUGAAACCUUGGUUGUUGUUUUGUCCAGAAGUAGACAUAUUUGAUAAUGGAGAGGUGAGUUGGCUCAGUCUUGGCUAGAAGGAAUUAAUGGACACAGCUAUAAAUAUUUUGUUGAUGGCUUGCGAACAACCAGAAAUACAACGAAAAAGAUCCUCAAUUUCCCAUUUUUUUAUCUUCAGUGCUUCAAAGGUCAUUGACACGGUCACAAUAUCAUCUGAAUUAUUAGUGUAACAUAUAGUUCAUGGCAGAUUUAUUUUCGUAUUUAAUAUCUGUACUAUUUAAAUACUAUGUAUCAAUAUAGCCCAUAAUUCUUUUUCUUUUUUCAGCCCAUAUGACAUUUAUCAUCUUUCAUUUUGUUACCAAAAGAUUCAUGGAACUUUUAUAUGUGGUUUCUCUCCAAGCAUAACCCUACCACUGAAAAUUGAAUAACAAGAAGCUGAUUACAAGAUUCCAAGAUAUCACGUCAACAAGGGGUGAUAUUUAAAGACCAUGACAGUCUGUCAAGAUUAACAAAAUGUGUCUAAGUAGCUUCUGUCAAAAAGCUCGAAGUGUUUGAAGUGAUCCAAUCAGAAGGAUUAGAUGCUUUAGGGUAACAAACAUCAAAGUAACACAGAGUUAAAAAAAGGAGUAACGACAAUUAGACAUCGUGCUUUUGCAAUUUCUGGUAAGAUUUAAAGGGGAAAACAUGGCUCUCACUGAAUAUAAGAACAUAUUUCAAUGUAAUGCCAGAAGUGAUCUGACAUUCAUAAGCCAAUAUGCAUGUACUUGAGACAAUGGGAGUAAUGCCCCCUAUAAGAAUACUUGUCAUGAGAGUGAAAAUUUUCUUCUGAUGAUAGGCCCAAACCAAGGGCAAGCUUAAGCCCUCCUCUCCUACACAUACACAAUUGAACCUUUGGUUGGCACAAAUGGGUGUGUAUUGUGUAACUCACAGAGGAUGGUACAUCAUUCAAUAAGACAAACAUGAGUACAAGUAGAUAGAAAAUGGUACUUUUGUAGUUUCUGCAAGAAAAGGCAAAAGGUAAUAUAACUAUAGCGUGUGAAAAGUAAGUCUAGUAGAAGACAACUGCAACAAGGCAUCCAUGAGUUGAUGGCUAGCAGAUCUCCUGGAAUCAAGAACCUUGUGUUGCAUACAUCAAACAGAAUAAUAAAAGACAGACAAAUGCAUAAACAGUGUGAUUGGAUGAAAUGGAGAUGUGUUUGUAGAAAGUAAAACAAUUGUUUCAGGCAAGUGAAAUGAAUAUAAAGCAAAAAAAAUGCUAAUAUAGAUGAUGAUGGAAAGCCAAAUGAAAUGGCAUGUGCAACAAAAAUUAAGCGAUGUUCUGGCCAGGAGAAAGCAAAAAAAUUUGCAGAAUGCAAGUCACUAGAGAAUAAGAGAAGAUUAAGUAGGUAGAAAAGCUUGAGAUGAAGCAAGAAGAAAGCUAGUCUUCUAUUUUUUGCCAGCUAUGAUUUUAUCACACAUCAUCCUCCUGCCAGAAUAUGUGAAGACCAAGUCCAAGCUGUUGGCUCAAUGAAAGGAACGAAGAAACUGAAAAUGAAAGAUGAGCCUUGAAAUGAGAAGUUCUUCCACUGGAUUACCACGCCAUUAUUAGAAAUAAGAAUAUUAAUUGGACAUGCAAUCCAAGACCGUGAGGCAUGCUAAAAAUGAAGCAUCAUGGAAUACUGCUCCUAUAAAAAAAAUUGCAACAGAAAAGAAAUGGCUACUCAAUUUAGGAAUGACUACAGAUGCAGGUGUACAUCCAGUUUUAAAAUGUUGAACUACUCUAGAUAUGAUGAAACUAUGACUAUAGAAGUGCAGUCAAUGUCGAACCAGAGACUGCAAUGUUCUUGUCACCCUAAAUAAAGAACUGAAAAGGACAUUAGCACAUGCUUUGCUCCACAGCUAGUGGAAUUCAACAACAAUGCGGGCAAGUGACUAGAAUAUUACAUCUGCAAAUUGGUAAGCACAGUUCAAAGGAGGUCAUAGUCAGGAUGGCUAAGCAUGACCAGUGGCUCAGUCAGCAGACAUGCAUAAGAAAUUAAUAUUAUAUUUCAUCCUUCCUUGUUAAGGAGACAUUAAAGACCUUCAGAAGCAUCUCAUCCGACCUAACUUAGAGACUUGAAAUAAAUAUUAGAUUAAAAUCACAUGAGCACUCAUUCCUGCAAACUUAGACCACAAAAUAGUCCUUGAUUUAUAUAGUACCUGCAAACAAGAAAAUCAUUAAAAUAAAACCUUAUUGCAUAGGGUAUUGGGGAACCAAUCAAACUUCACAAGAUAGGCAUGGCAACAACCCUAUAACAAGUGGAAAUUCAUCAAGGUGCACGAUGACUCAACCACAAAAUCUAAAGAGCAAUGAUGUUAUCGAUAACGAACCAACCCUCACAAUGAUAGAUGUCCACUGGAAAAAAUGGUAAAAGGGAAAUAUGUGCAAUAUUUUAAACAAAUAAAUUAAAAAACAUCCAUUUCUACUUUUCCCCCCUUUUUUUCUAAAGCCACAUUCUCUCCUUCCAACUUGGCCCUUAAAAAACAAAAAAGCCUUUUAAUCUCCUUACCCAAUCAAACCGCUAAAGAUAAGCGAAAAAAAUAACAGUUCCCUCCUCACUAUUGCAAAAUUGACCCCAAAAAGGAUCUAAACAAUGUUUAUAGAUCUCGUAUUAGAUCUAGGUUCAAUAAUUAUAAAUGAUUUGGGCUUUAUUUUAAGUUAAUCGUUUGUUUAUUUUAUUGCCUUAGGACUCUUUUUUAAAGUUUUCUAGAGUAGGUUACUCGAGUCAUAUUCUAGAAAAAUUCAAAUUAAUUUUUAGGGCAAUUUCUUAAGUUUCAUUUUAAGUAGAAUAUUUGUCUAAACAUCCUGCUUUAAAAUCUAGGUUGUAUUUUUUAAAAAAAAAUAUUUGGAGUCACCGUAAUUAACAUUCUGAAGUGAUUCAAAUGACUUUUCCUGGAGUUUUUCAAUAAAAAGACAAAUUUUAUUAUUUUGUGAAGUCUAGUCAUUUCUCAUUUCAAUAAAAAGUGAUUUUAUUAUUUGCAGCCAUUACGGAGGUCAAUUAGGAGUUUUCAUUUGAGACAAAUUUAUAAAAAUUAAAAUGUAUUGAUAAUCGGGAGUUAUUUUAGGAUUAAAUGACAUUACUUUGCAAUUUUUUAGCAUCUAAAAAUAGGGUCAAGAAAAAGUGAUUUAGAAGUUAAAUAAAUUAGUUCCUUUAUGCAGGAUUUCUCUUAAUAAUUGUCUUUCUGCAGUCUCAAAUUCCUUUCCCUUUAUUCUGCCCUUGAACCAUCUCUCUUGCCUUAGAUACCUCUUUUAUUUGAUACUGUUUGUUCUUCAUCAAGAAAAUUUAUUUUAGCAUGUUACAAAAUUCCCUCACAGCUCAAACACUAAGAGCCUGCAUCACUAACACUUUUUCUUUCCACAUUGAAGGAACUCCACUCUGCAAACUGGCCAAACAAAGAUUUGGAUCUUAGAAGGGUCUUCUUGUAUUUUAAAAAAUAAAUGAUCACAUCCAUCAAAAAAUCAGUGAACUUCACUUACAAGUUCUCUACUCAAAAGUGACCGUGACAGUCUCCUCCUUCACAAAAAUCACUCCUAUUCAGCAUGUGCAGCCUUUGAUUCUUAACCUUAAGUUGGCAUGUGAAAAUAUUACCCCCUAUGAUGACUGACCAAGCAACAAUCUGGAUCUUAAAAAUCCUUCACCAACAAUCAAUAUCUUUGAAGAAGAGAUACAGCAAGACUUCAUUUAGAAUGGAAGGAUGCCCAAACACCGACCAACCUUAGCCAUAGAGAUUAUUUUCACUUAACCAAGUGAUAAAUGCAGAAACUUUAGAUAUAAAAAGUAAAUCCAUUGAAAAUAUUAGAAGACACAAAGUAGCCUAGAGUAAUCUACACUAGGUUCUAAUCUCUUGCACUAUUUUCUUUUUUACCUACCAAUAGGCAUCACAAAUAUCUCCAACGCGAAGAAUAAAUAUCCACUCCUAAUAAUGAUGACGAUGAUGAUAACAAUAACAAUAAUAAUAAUAAUAAUAUGAUGAUGAUGACAACGACAUACUAGAUGAUCAGAAAACUUAAAUUUCAUGGCUCCUAAACUUGUUAAUAGAAUAAUGUACAGUGAUCAUAAAGAAUUCCAAUUUUAGAAACAAAUUAUAUAAUACAAAAUAAUAUAAUACAUCAUCGUUUGAGGGGAAAUUUGCAUUUAAGUAAUAGUGUAAAGAAGCCAAAAACUAUGUGAGAGGUUGGGAGAAGACAACCCCUUCUCCUAGGUUUUGCACUUGAGCAUACCCGUCACCUCUCAAGUGUUCUGAUGCACAACAAUCGGUUUGUCAUGUUCUCAUAUUCCCUAGCGGACUGAUUACAAUUAUAGGCACUAUUGAGAGAGUCAUUUAUCUUUCCACAUGUGGUGGAAGGACAGAUUCAACAUUUGGCAUAUCUUCAAGUUGAGUAAGCAUAAUAAACCCCAAAGUCUGAGUAUCCAUAAAUCAGCAUGUUCGAGAAGUGCUCGGCCUAAAGAUGCUCAAGUUAACACGUGAAUUGAUUCGAAUCAAAAUUGUCCAUCCUGCGUCACAGUAGAUUGAUUUAGCCAGAUUGUCCUACUUAAGUAGCUCAUUAUUUAUUGCAAGAUUUGCUGUAUGGGUCUGUAUUAGUGCAUCCAACUAUAUCAUACCAUAACAGUAUCGAACCGGCAUACAGUACAGAGGGCAUACUGACACUCACUAUGCCAAACCAGCCCCUAUGCCAAGCAUACCAACACUAUAAUAGGAUGGUACUAGUGCCAUCUCAAUUUAUUGUAUGUAAAGUAAUCUAAAAAAGCUUAGAACUAAAGCAUCUUUUGACUUAUUAACAUUUCAUUUACCCUAAAUACUACUAGUAAUCAUUAAAUGUUAUCUCUAGCAGGGUAAAUUUAAGUCUACUAAAAUCAUCAUUGGUGAUCAUACCAUAUAACUAUUAAGGAACUUUCUCAGCCAUAGCAAUUAUUGCAAUAAAAUUGCAAUUUUUGUGAGACCCAAGCAACAACUUUUACCAUUUUCUCCAAACACCUCGGAUCACAAAUUAUAUGCUGAUAGUAAAAUAUAUAGAAAUGAGAAAAUAGAAUAAACAUGCUAUGUUAUUUUUAAAAAAUCAAGAAAUUUAAAAUAAUUCUAGGCAAUUAUAUGCACUUCAUAUCUAAACACAUAAAUAAAUACAAAAUUCCAUAUAAAUAUCAUUGAUACCUCCCAAUUGCUGCAGUGAUUAUGUCUUCAUAUAAGAAAUUUCAGAAGAAAAAAAAUCAAUUGCAACUCGAAACUUUUCUACAGAUUAGGUGUCUUUUGCUUUGUUUUUUCCUUUUUUGCAGAGUAUGUCUGUCUCCAAGUCAGCAAGCUUUCAGUUCAUAAACCUAAAUUUAAAGUGCUUGGCUGUACUUAAAAAUUUGCCCAUUAGGGUAACUAUAUAACCAUUAAUGAUGCACAAAUAUGGCUUCGUUCAUCCAUUUCUACAUCACUUGUCUAAUCAAGGCAAAUCAUGCCUACCCCAUCCUGUAUCUUUGCUUUGACUAUGUUCCAUCUCAACAAAAUUCAAGCAACUACUAACUGGAAUUAAGAGCUAAUGUAAAAUUCAACAGCAGCAACAACAAUAGGGAGUUAAAAAAUCCAAAUUUACCAUACCAUUUAGAGACUUAAAGUUUCUAAUUCCAGUUCAACAACUUACAGCAUCAUGCUUCUCUGAAAGUUCAAUGACACCAAAGUCUUGUGUAUGGAAAAUUGAAGAACUUCAGACUUAUAAAGUAACUAAUAGAAACUAAAGAUUUUAUUAACAAAAUUGACAAAAAUGAAACUGCUCCUCAGGAUACAUAAAUCUUCAUAGAGCAGGAACUUUUUAAAAAUGUAGAAACCAGUGCUUGAGAUUGCAAUUUGAAGAAAACAAGAUCAAUCAACCAGAGUCACUCUCCUAUUAAUUUUAAAGAAUCAUAAAAUUAGCAUCAAAGAAAUACAUGUAGGUAGUGAACAACAUGCAUGGAUAAAGAUAGUGCUUGAAUCAUGUUCACUAAGUUAUAAAGCUCAGCCAACUUCACAUAGUGUGGAUAAAUCUCACUAUUAAUCAUACUGAGGGUGAAUACCAAUUGAUGUGAUAGUCUUUGCUGGGGAAGUUCACCUUAAGGGAGAAGAAUUCAUAGAUGGAAUAAGGGAUUGCAAAGUUGAUGUUAGAUAAGAUACUAUAUGAUAUGUGAUCAAACAGCAUGAAAUUUUAUGCUGCCUCCUGAACUAGCCAUUAAGGAUCCCUAUAGCAACAAGCAUCAGUUGUUUUUAAAAAAGAGUACUGGCAAUUUCAAAACUUUUCUAGUCCAACAACCAUCAGAAUGUCAUCACAUAACAUAAUACCUAACCAGGAAAAUCUUGGAAGAAAUACCGUCAAAAGUUUACUGCAGAAAUAAGAAGCAAACAGUAUACAAAGUGCUAUUCUGACAUUAAAAGGCCCGAAAAUAUAAUCCCUUAAAUAGAAUCUGCAACCCAAACAGAACUAGAGAGCAUUUAAUGCCUCUGGAACCCCUGAAGAACACCUAAUCUGGAAAAUCUUGGAGCUACUAACAGCAAAACUUAAAUGCAGAAGCCUGAGAUAAACAGCAUUGAAGGGUCCGGAAUCUUAUCAGUUGUUUAGAAACGCAAACCGAUUUCGCAUAGAAAAGCAGAUAACUGCCCAGCCUAAAUACUUGGGUUUUUCCUGCCAAAGAAGGGAACAUAAACAGAACUGCACAAACCAUGAAAAGACUAAAAAUCAUCCCCUUUUUCUUGUACAGAAAAAGAAUGACACCAUCCCUGCUACGAAUCUCAGGCAUAAUUACUUCACAAUAUCAUCAUCCAAGUUCAGAAUAAAGAAAAAUCACCACACAAACACAGAAAAUAUCCAACAAAACAUAGUUUCGUAAUAUACAGUCCGAUCUGACGAAUAUCUAACACAGACAAAUAAAGAAAAGAGGAAAAAAAGAUUAGCAAGAUAUAAUCAAGAUUACUGGAGAAAAGAACCAAGAAAUCCAAACAAAAAUACAUUUUCAAUUAAAAACUCAAAACAGAUUAUUAUACAUUAGAAAGAAAGCAUAAUAGCAACGAUCUAGACAUCAAAAGAACGAAAUUCCCUAACAAACAACAAAAAUUUGUGGAUUGAAGGAAAAUUCCACGGGCGGAUCAAGACGGAAGGCUGCGUCAUACCUUCCGAUCGUAUCCACCGAUCAAGAUCGCGAUUCCGAGUUCCUUUCUCCCAAGGGAACGAAUCCGAGAGGCAAUCCCCCUUAAUCCGACGCUUUGCCUAGGGUUUGCUGGAGGGGCGAGAUUUGGGGAUUUCGACGGUCACGCCACCGAAGAAAGCGGAAGCCAGACAAGGAGGAGAAACCACAGGAGAACUACGGAGACAAGGAACCGCCCUUUAAUACUAAAAAAAAAUACCACCCUUCCACCCGGCCACCAUCCACGACCCUUCCUCCCCUGGUAUUUAUAGUGGAGGCGAGCCGAGGUCAGGAUUGGUUUAAAAAUAAGGAGAAAAUAAAUCUAAAAUAAAGGAAUAAGGUUUUAUUUCUGUUCGUGGGCACAGGGGCCCACCAAUUAUGGGGCACGCGGAGCCACGUGGCAGGCAGGCUUGGCCGCGGUCCAGUGUUCCGCCGGUUCUAUCCAUACCGUGGGCCUCCAGCUGGCCCUUCUUUAACCCGUCACCUGCGAAGAAGGGCGUACAGGUACAUCAGGGGGUGGGUCCCACCUUGGUGGAUGUCACCAUGGUGACACCGGCGAGAUGAAUUUGAUGGACGAUGAGUAAUUAAAGACCCACAUAAAAGUUUCCGCACGCCCAACUUAAUUAAAUCCAUAUCAAACCUUGGAAUUACCUUUAAGUCCUAAUAAAUUUUUUAAAUAUGUCCAAUUACACAGCUUAUGUCCAAGUACAUAAAUUCUAAACCUGACAUUUAUGGGACUCUUUUUAUAUUUCUUUGAAUUUUCGUUAAGCUGUUUCUAAAUCUUUUACUAUUUAUCUAUUACAUUAAAAUUAAUUAUUGGUUUUUUUGAAUAGGAGCUAUAACAUCUAACCUAAGCAGCAGCAUAAUUGCUCAGACAUUAUACAAUAUUUUGACCGAUCCUGAGCACUACAACCGCCUUCUUGAAUCUUAUUCCUAUACAUUGCGAUAAAAAUGUAACAUGAUAAUUAUAUGACAAUAGGCAAUUUAUCCAUCUGCCAAUGCAUCGGUUUUCAUUAGACACCAAGAGUUCGGCUCGGAACAAAAACUACCAAAAUCUAUUUAUAUGACACAUUUUUCUCCAACAUUAGGUAGGAGAUUGUCCCACGUUUCUGGCAAUAUGGGGAAAAGGAAAAGUAGCUCGUGACCAUAGAAUUUUUUUGCUAAGUUUGAAUGUAGUUAUUACUUUUUUGUGGUGGUUUAUAAUUUUAUGUAUAAAAUUUUCUCAAAAUUAUACCAUUGUAUGUAUUAACCGGUGGCCAAUAAUAAUGAAAGCAUGAGAAAUGGCCCAGGAGCACUUACAAUUAGGAUUAGAUUAUUAAGCCAUGACUACGAACUUGGCUAGUCCCCACAACACUCAUGACCACAGCAAUGAUAAUUUAUUCCAAGUAUAAAAUUCGCAAGGACGUGGUAAAGUGUUAAGAGGAAAUUGAGUAUCUCCGUAAAUCUUUGCAUUCGAGAUGUGAAACAAAUUGCUGCAUCACAUAUAAACUAAGAAUUACAGAAAUCUUAUAGUAAAAGGUUAGCUAGAAACGGAGAGGAGACAAGUUAGCUGAUGUUUACCGAGAAAAAUAAAGGUUAGCUGCCGUGCACGAUGCUUCUCCCCUUGCUUGGCUGACACUGUGCAGGUUCCAGGAGCAAUACGGAAGCUAUGCAUCAAAUUUUUUAAUCCUCUUUUCUGUGAGAAACAAAUAGAGGAAUCCAUCUUUAUUUUGUGCGUAGGGAUAUCCAAACACCAAUCAAUUACUCGUCUAACUUUUGGUGAAAAAAAGAGCCAUCAUAAGCAAUGAAAAGAACCAUAGCUCGAGUCCAUACCAGAGUCCAAGAAAAAGUUGGCUCACCCAAAAAAAAAAAAAAACUAAAGAAAAAAGGUCUUAAUGUCUUAAUAGUAAAAUGCCAUAGGAAGCCACCUGUUACAUUGAACAUCCCCUGGAACCUGAAAAGGAGAGAAGGCGAGCUAGCUGCGGUGUAUACUCCACUUCAAACGAAAAGUAUAAUCCAAGGCGUUAUUGACUUCUUAAACUUGGUCAUUCAGCAAACCAAACAAAGAGCAGCAAGAAACACGUUCAAUUUGAGGAAGGUGCGAUGCUUUUGCGCGGUCAGUUUGCUCCUGCUAUGAAACUUUGACUGUGCAAUCGCACCUUCCUCGAAUUGAAUGCGGACGCCCGUGGGCUAACAGAGGACAAGGGGCACUCAUCGCCCCCAGCGAAGCCAGCCCGUGCCUCCUCCUAUGAAACUUGAACUGCCUUAAACCACACCACGUGAAUUACACACAAUAAAUUCUAGGAACAUAAACCAGCAAUUUCUGAUGAUAGAACUAAUAAAGCUAGAGGCCUGGGGGAUCCCAUUCCUCCAACAAAUAGACAAUUUAUGAUACGUUGGACUUUCGAAAGCUCCGAUGGCAUGCAUGUGAGAUUAGGCCUAGAAUGGGCAAUAUUGGAUUGAAGUCGACGGGCCCAACCGACUUCGGUACAAUGCUAAAGGAAGAACCAGAAUAGAGGAUCACAAUAGCGAUUCUUUGCUCCUUCCUCGAAGAGAUAAGUCCAUGGAUGAACCUCGACUCCGUGGGGAGUUUGAACGGCCGCCAGCUGUUCGAUCGAGCCCAUCCGCCGCAAGAAUCGUGGCGGAGCAAUGGCCCCUCACCUUAUCCCUUUGGAGGUGUCCCCUAUAAAUUCUCUCACCUCUCGGCGAUUAUCCUCCACCUUCGAGCUUCGCCGAGCCUUUUCCUCCCUCUCCUCCCUCCUUCUUCUCCUUCUCCGGUGACCGGCAUGCCACCCCAACCAAGCACCACCGCCUAAAGCUCCCUUUUCUUCCUUUUUUGUUCAAGUGCUCUGUUUUCUUUGUUCCGAGACUCCUCCCUGUUUCAAGCACCGCCGCCACUAGUCGCCACCGGUUGAGCAAUCCGCAGCCAAGAUCGUCCAUCUCCGCCACUCGCCGGUACCAAAGAUGUUCUUAGUUUUUCCCUCCUCGCCCUUGCUGUUGACGGUUGGCCGUCGACCACCCAAUUUUGGCCGCCGCAACCCUUCCCCGAUCUCUUCCCUCUCCUCUUUCCUCUCUUCCUUCCCGACUUCUUCCUCUUCUUAGUUCUUAUUUCUUCCCAUACUUAAUUUUUUGUAUUUAUUUAUUAAUCCCUAUACAUAUAUGGCUUUCAUUGUUCCUCCCUCGUUGCUAAUCUCUCCCUUGCCUAUGGGCCAAAUGUUGUGAUGAUUUAUGACUCUAUGACGGACCAAACCCAGACCCCUGUCCGACCCUAAACUAAGGCUCUCUCCUCGCCAUCUUUCUCUCUCUUCACAGGCUCAAGAAUCCUAGUGUAAGCCUUAUUUUUCUUAUUGGUCGGAUCCAAAUUGACCCAAUUUGGAGAUCUUGAACUGCCCCGGUAUCUAGGCAGUAGACCGGCCCAUUACUAAAUUCCCAGCUAAAUCUUUUGAAAUUCGGUCAUUUUUAAUCUUUACCUGACUAAUUAAAUUCUCUUUGCUCGGACCGACCUGGGCAGUCGGGCACUGUCACCUGAUCGACCUGAUUUAGAGGCAUGAGGCCGUUCUCUAAUAGUGUUUAAUUUUGACUUCAAUUGACUUAUAGAAUGAUAAUGAAAUCAUAUUAAAAUAAGUGCACUUGACCCGUCAAACUGAAGUAGGAUUUUUGAAGUGAGAAGAGGUAAGUAACCUAAUGCUUCAAUGAGUGUUUUUUGAAUUUUUGGUAAAAUAAUAAUUAGGUUAUUAAAUUUGAAUAUGAUAUAUGUUUUAUACUUAGUUAAACGGGUCAAGCAUGUUGAUGUUAUGAUAGUAAUUAUUUUAAAAUAUGUUAUGUUAGAUUUUGAAAUCUAAAAAAUAUGACUGAGCAAAAAAAAAUUGUAUAUAUAUUCAUUUUCUGCAUGGUUAUGAUUUGACCCCACCAAUGGAGAUUAUUCGUUAACCCUGUCAACUUGUAAUCUGUGAGAAACUAGUUUCGACACCACACCACCGGUGAUUAUAAUGGUGAUAUUUGGAUACUGUACCGCCGGUGGAUAAUAAUAGUGGUAUUUGGUACUUUGUGCAUUGACACAUACUAUUGGAUUACGUGGCCAUAGCCUAAUAUCUGGUUUCUGGUAUUUCUUUAUAAAAACAAUAGUAUACUUCAAAAGAAAAUAUGCAUUAUUCGAGAAAUGAUUUAUUUUCUAGUCAAUAUCUUGUGUUUUUAACUAAUUUUUUGGCAUGCUUUGACACCACUUUGGGAUAUUAUGUUGCUUACUAGGCUAGUGUAGCUUAUUAUUAUAUUUUUUUCUGUUUUUCAUUUCUAGAUGCAUAAUUGUUCAGGACUUGGAGCUGGUUCUUUUAAAAAUACUUUUGGUUAUUGGAGUUUUAGUCGGUUUAGUUAGAACAUUUUAUUUGAUUUAUGUUAGUAGUUAGCAUAUAUUAACUUAUGUCACUUUGGAAUUAUUGUAAGAAUCAUUUGGAUAAGUUCUUAAUUGAAUAAUUUUUCAGAAAUUAUUAUUACUUUGAUAUGAUCUGUAGCCCUAUACAUAUAUGCAGGAUCUAUUUUGCUCUGGGUUCGGGGCAUGAUAAUGCAAGAGCGAAAGUGAUAGAAAAAAACUGAGCAAGAGAAUAUCUGAGGCCUCAACAUAAUUCCAGGUCAAGAACAUGUUAAUUGGAGAAUAAUCAAGUGAAAAGAGAAGAUCUUAGGUCUCGACAUAAUUUCAAGUCAGGAACAUGUUAAUUGGAGAAGAAACGGCAUGUUGGCAAAUGUCUUUUGGAUAAGAAGAUUUGCUUACAGAAUUGACUGCCAAGGUUAACAUGGUUAAAAAGCAAUUUUAGGCAAAUCAGCUGCAUGGCAGAAAGGUGUAAUUAUCAGAAGGGAGAGAAAAAAAAAGGACUUUGAGAGUUGAAAUUGAAUGAAGUGGAUCCAAAGAACCUGAUCCUUAGCCUUUUCAGUGAAACAGAUUUGAGUUACCUUGCUGUUUAUAGGCUCAAAUUGGGACUAAUGAAAAUUUUAGCAAGGACCAUCUGCUUCUCCAUUUCAAUACUAUCAAAUAUUUUGAGUGCCAGAUGAUCAAAUCCCCAAAGAAGGCUUUGAUCAUCUUCUGUCAAACUAGUCUGUUUUUUAGCCCCUCCCUCUCCAUUAUUUUAUUCAAGAUCUGCACUUAUUCAUACUUGUUUUUCAAACUUGUGACAAGUUAACAAACUAUUCACCAAGAAAAUGUUAUUGACAAGAAAGAGCCCAAGCAUGACUGACCUUCAUCAGACUCGCUGAGUUCCUAUUAGAUGAAGGAAAGGAAAACAUACUAAGCGUAUUUGAAGCUCUAUUAUAAUUAUGCCAUGGGAAUGCACGCAUCAUACAGUAGAAAGGAUGCCAACAGGAAAAGGUCCGAAGAAUAUAUCGGUUUAACAGCAGACAAACAAAAUCCAGCAACAUGCCAUGUCGUGUUUUACCAUGGAAAACAAAAUAAAAGCAGGAGAGCAAGCAAACUAUACUUCAAUAACGAAGAUCACACAACGUUCAAGUCUCCAUUGAUUUUGGUCCCCCAUUCUUUUUAAAUCCUUUAAUCUCUAAUUUGAACCCUCUAAUUAUUUGGGUCCUAGUUCUCAGGGCCCCUUCUCGCUGCCUAAUACUAAGCAACAGAUCUUAGAAUAUAAAAUUUCCUUUUAAAUCAUACCUGAUGUUUUACAGGACAUACCAAAGGCACAACCCUGCUUCAUCUGCAUAGUAUUGGUGGAAUUCUCAUCAAUCUGUCCGUUCCAAUAUAAGAUAGAGUCAAGGUAAUUAAAUUGAUAGGUUAGAGAAUCUAUUGUGUGCCAAUUCUAACAACAUACUCAGAAAUACUGUUCAACUGAAGUUGCACUCCCUUUGGCCCAACACAGUUCUCCAAACUUUUAUUCUCUAGAUUUUUCUUCUACACCAUAAUACCCAACCUCCCUUAGUAUCAUAAACUAAAGCUUAAGCACCCGCAAAUUGGGAAAAAAGGAGCAAACUUUUGGAACGCUAGUAUCCACUGGCUUUCAAGGAAUGGAAUAUUACCAAGCACCCUCCACUAUUUCAGAUAGUAUUUAUGGUUCUACCUUUUUCUCUGGACACAACGGGAGGUGCAAUCCAUUUCGUGAAUUGGUAGGGGAGGCGGUACAAUGGAAUUUCAUUCAUUCAAUAUUGAUUCCCGUAGUUCGGGAGUUCAAGCCAGGCAAGGCACAAUAAGGGUUGGCGAACAUGGUAGGCACAUUACAAAUCAAUACACGAAGAGGUGCCGCCGUGAAGAUCUAGGAGUGUGAGCAGUACGAGCUGAAAGGCUCUCAUACUGUUUGGAUUUUUAGUACAAGUAGCUACAGGUUUUGCUAUGACUUUUGACUAUCGUCCAACCGUUACAGAAGCUUUUUCCUCUGUUCAAUACAUAAUGACUGAGGCCAAUUUUGGUUGGUUAAUUCGAUCAGUUCAUCGAUGGUCAGCAGGAAUCCACAAACCAUUCCGACCGACGAUCAGAAUUUCUUCGAAUAUGUCCUUGAAUUUAUUCGAGAUUUGAGCAAAACUUUCUUGUUCUAGUACCAAUAGGUGAUGAUUAGUGCACUAACCGACUCUUGAUUACCGUUUUUUGCUUACUCUUUUUUGGCCUGGAAGAGCGAACGAUCCACCUGGACAACUAAACUGAGACUCCGACUUCUUGGGCCCCCCACUGGAGAUGAGAUGACGGGGAGCCUUUGGAAACUGUCGUGACGCUUUGGUGACGAAGGUCACCNN